GGGGGGUGGUGAAUGGGGGAUGGUGGCAAUGGGGUCAGUGAUAAUAGGGAUGGUGACAAUGGGGGUGGUGACAACAGGGACAGUGACAAUGGGGUGGUGACAAUGGGGUGGCGACAAUGGGGUGGUGACAGUGGGACGUGGUGACAGACGUGACAAUGGAGGAUGGUGACAAUGGGUGACAAUGGGGUGGUGACAAUGGGGUGGUGACAGAGGUGACAAUGGGGGGUGGUGACAAUGGGGAUGGGGACAAUGGGGACGGCGACAAUGGGGGGGUUGGUGACAAUGGGGGGUGGUGACAGUGGGAUGUAGUGACAGAGGUGACAAUGGGGUGGUGACAAUGGGGUGGUGACAACGGGGGGGUGACAACAGGGGGGUGGUGACAGUGGGAUGUGGUGACAGAUGUGACAAUGGGGAUGGCGACAAUGGGAUGGCGACAAUGGGUGACAAUGGAGAUGGGGACAAUGGGGACAGUGACAAUGGGGGGUGGUGACAGUGGGAUGUGGUGACAGAGGUGACAAUGGGGGGAUGGUGAUUAUGGGUGACAAUGGGGAUGGGGACAAUGGGGUGGUGACAAUGGGGGGGUGACAACGGGGGGGUGACAACGGGGGGGUGGUGACAGUGGGACAUGGUGACAGAUGUGACAAUGGGGAUGGCGACCAUGGGUGGCAAUGGGGACGGGGACAAUGGGAUGGCGACCAUGGGGUGGUAUCAAUGGGGACGGGGACAAUGGGGACAGCGACAAUGGGGGGGUGGCGACAAUGGGGGGGUGGCGACAAUGGGGGGUGGUGACAGUGGGACGUGGUGACAGAGGUGACAAUGGGGGAUGGUGAUUAUGGGUGACAAUGGGGAUGGUGACAACGGGGGGGUGACAACGGGGGGGUGGUGACAGUGGGAUGUGGUGACAGAUGUGAUAAUGGGGAGUGGUGACAAUGGGUGACAAUGGGGAUGGUGACAAUGGGGUGGUGACAAUGGGGUGGUGACAACGGGGAUGGGGACAACGGGGGGGUGACAACGGGGGGGUGACAACGGGGGGGUGGUGACAGUGGGACAUGGUGACAGAGGUGACAAUGGGGAUGGUGACAAUGGGAUGGCGACCAUGGGUGACAAUGGGGACGGGGACAAUGGGGACAGCGACAAUGGGGGGUGGUGACAGUGGGAUGUGGUGACAGAGGUGACAAUGGGGGGGAUGGUGAUUAUGGGUGACAGUGGGGAUGGUGACAAUGGGGUGGUGACAAUGGGGUGGUGACAACGGGGGGGUGACAAUAGGGGGGUGGUGACAGUGGGAUGUGGUGACAGAGGUGACAAUGGGGAUGGCGACCACGGGUGACAAUGGGGAUGGUGACAAUGGGGUGGUGACAAUGGGGUUGGUGACAGUGGGGACAGCGACAAUGGGGAUGGUGACAAUGGGAUAGCGACAACGAGGUGGUGACAAUGGGGAUGGGGACAAUGGGGACGGCGACAAUGGGGGGGUUGGUGACAAUGGGGGGUGGUGACAGUGGGAUGUAGUGACAGAGGUGACAAUGGGGUGGUGACAAUGGGGUGGUGACAACGGGGGGGUGACAACAGGGGGGUGGUGACAGUGGGAUGUGGUGACAGAGGUGACAAUGGGGUGGUGACAAUGGGGGGGUGGCAACAGUGGGAUGUGGUGACAGAGGUGACAAUGGGGGGGAUGGUG
RNAcentral lists this long non-coding RNA (1675 nucleotides) under Gallus gallus (chicken). RNAcentral's name for it is "lncRNA (ENSGALG00010010092.1)". Lineage: Eukaryota; Metazoa; Chordata; Aves; Galliformes; Phasianidae. The record is from RNAcentral.